GCCGUGGGGAGCUCGCCCAAUCGGAGGGGGACUACCAGGUUAGGAAACGACUGCUAAUACCGCAUACCGCCCUGAGGGGGAAAGGUGGGGAUCUUCGGACCUACCGCGAUUGGAUGCACCCAGGUGGGAUUAGCUAGUUGGUGAGGUAACGGCUCACCAAGGCGACGAUCUCUAGCUGGUCUGAGAGGAUGACCAGCCACACUGGAACUGAGACACGGUCCAGACUCCUACGGGAGGCAGCAGGUGGGGAAUAUUGCACAAUGGGGGAAACCCUGAUGCAGCCAUGCCGCGUGUGUGAAGAAGGCCUUCGGGUUGUAAAGCACUUUCAGCGAGGAGGAAAGGUGGCUAGCUAAUACCUAGUUGCUGUGACGUUACUCGCAGAAGAAGCACCGGCUAACUCCGUG
This 404-nucleotide ribosomal RNA is filed under the name uncultured bacterium. RNAcentral describes it as "bacterial SSU rRNA". It matches the Rfam family "Bacterial small subunit ribosomal RNA", at positions 115 to 507 of the family's 1533-position model. The record is from RNAcentral.